This 514-nucleotide ribosomal RNA is filed under the name Xanthomonas translucens. Its description in RNAcentral is "bacterial SSU rRNA". It matches the Rfam family "Bacterial small subunit ribosomal RNA", at positions 373 to 877 of the family's 1533-position model. The record is from RNAcentral. Lineage: Bacteria; Pseudomonadati; Pseudomonadota; Gammaproteobacteria; Lysobacterales; Lysobacteraceae.
GGGCGCAAGCCUGAUCCAGCCAUGCCGCGUGGGUGAAGAAGGCCUUCGGGUUGUAAAGCCCUUUUGUUGGGAAAGAAAAGCCAUAGGACUAAUACCCGAUUGUUCUGACGGUACCCAAAGAAUAAGCACCGGCUAACUUCGUGCCAGCAGCCGCGGUAAUACGAAGGGUGCAAGCGUUACUCGGAAUUACUGGGCGUAAAGCGUGCGUAGGUGGUGGUUUAAGUCCGUUGUGAAAGCCCUGGGCUCAACCUGGGAAUUGCAGUGGAUACUGGGUCACUAGAGUGUGGUAGAGGGUAGCGGAAUUCCUGGUGUAGCAGUGAAAUGCGUAGAGAUCAGGAGGAACAUCCGUGGCGAAGGCGGCUACCUGGACCAACACUGACACUGAGGCACGAAAGCGUGGGGAGCAAACAGGAUUAGAUACCCUGGUAGUCCACGCCCUAAACGAUGCGAACUGGAUGUUGGGUGCAAUUUGGCACGCAGUAUCGAAGCUAACGCGUUAAGUUCGCCGCCUGGG